GAUGAACGCUGGCGGCGUGCCUAAUACAUGCAAGUCGAGCGAACGGACGAGAAGCUUGCUUCUCUGAUGUUAGCGGCGGACGGGUGAGUAACACGUGGAUAACCUACCUAUAAGACUGGGAUAACUUCGGGAAGCCGUAGCUAAUACCGGAUAAUAUUUUGAACCGCAUGGUUCAAAAGUGAAAGACGGUCUUGCUGUCACUUAUAGAUGGAUCCGCGCUGCAUUAGCUAGUUGGUAAGGUAACGGCUUACCAAGGCAACGAUGCAUAGCCGACCUGAGAGGGUGAUCGGCCACACUGGAACUGAGACACGGUCCAGACUCCUACGGGAGGCAGCAGUAGAGAAUCUUCCGCAAUGGGCGAAAGCCUGACGGAGCAACGCCGCGUGAGUGAUGAAGGUCUUCGGAUCGUAAAACUCUGUUAUUAGGGAAGAACAUAUGUGUAAGUAACUGUGCACAUCUUGACGGUACCUAAUCAGAAAGCCACGGCUAACUACGUG
Molecule: ribosomal RNA, 497 nt
Filed under: uncultured bacterium
Lineage: Bacteria
Description: partial 16S ribosomal RNA
Rfam family: Bacterial small subunit ribosomal RNA
Source: RNAcentral